AUAGCCUAACGGCUGAACCAGCAACUUGGAGGAAUGUAUAGCGAAAGCUAGUUGCAUUUAACUUAGCGAAAGCUAAGUUUAUGCAGGAUUGACUAUGUCAAAUAAAGUUCUAGGUGGGUUAUGAUGAUGACAUUUCCUAUCUAUGUGUCUUGACCAAAUUACGUGCCAGCAGUCGCGGUAACACGUAAAAGACUAGUGUUAUUCAUCUUUAAUAGGUUUAAAGGGUACCUAGACGGUAAAUCAAGUCCAAGAAGGGUACUAAUUUUACUAGAGUUUAAUAUGAGGGGGCACUAAAGUACUGAUAAGUGUAGAGAUGAAAUUCUGUGAUACAAUAUACGGCACUGGUAAAGGCGAAAGCAUCUCAUUAUGUAAUAACUGACGUUGAGGGACGAAGGCUAGGUGUAGCAAAAAGGAUUAGAUACCCAAGUAGUCUUAGCAGAAAAUUAUGAAUGUCAUAGGAUGGAAAGUUGGAUGGACAAACAACAAAUUUUUUUUCCUAUAAAUGAAAGUGUAAGCAUUCCACCUCGAGAGUAAUUUGGCAACAUUGGAACUGAAAUCAUUAGACCGUUUCUGAAACAAGUAGUGAAGUAUGUUGUUUAAUUUGAUGGUCCGCAAAAAACCUUACCACAAUUUGAAUAGAAAAAUUUUUUUUCAUACAAGCGCUGCACGGUUGUCUUCAGUUAAUGUCGUGAGAUCUUGGUUAGUUCCAUUAAAUUAACGUAAA
This 724-nucleotide ribosomal RNA is filed under the name Physconia perisidiosa. RNAcentral describes it as "mitochondrial SSU rRNA". It matches the Rfam family "Bacterial small subunit ribosomal RNA", at positions 371 to 1102 of the family's 1533-position model. Lineage: Eukaryota; Fungi; Ascomycota; Lecanoromycetes; Caliciales; Physciaceae. The record is from RNAcentral.